RNAcentral lists this ribosomal RNA (1115 nucleotides) under Crustacea environmental sample. RNAcentral describes it as "SSU rRNA". It matches the Rfam family "Eukaryotic small subunit ribosomal RNA", at positions 611 to 1700 of the family's 1831-position model. The record is from RNAcentral. Lineage: Eukaryota; Metazoa; Arthropoda.
UGUUGCGGUUAAAAAGCUCGUAGUUGGAUAUCAGUGCGUGUCCGGUCCGGUAUGCCCGGUACCGUCGCGGCAACGCGUCGGCCGCCGGGCUCCCAAAUAUCGGCUGGCCGCAUUCAAUCGGGCCGGAUCCGUCGACGGGCCGCUCUCCGGAGGGGCCUGUUGGCGACCGGCAACGUUACCUUGAACAAAUUAGAGUGCUCAAAGCAGGCUCUGAAUGCCUGUAUACAUAUUCAUGGAAUUGGAGAAUACGUCCCUGGCUCAAUUUGGUUGGUUUUGAGAGUCGAAGGGAAAUGAUUAAUAGGGACUGACGGAGGCAUUCGUAUUGCGCCGCGAGGGGUGAAAUCCUGUGACCGGCGCACGACGAACUACUGCGAAAGCAUUUGCCGAGAAUGUUUUCAUUAGUCAAGAACGAAAGUUAGAGGUUCGAAGGCGAUCAGAUACCGCCCUAGUUCUAACCGUAAACGAUGUCGACCAGCAAUCCGCAGCGGUCACUACACGGACUGUGCGGGCAGCUUUCCCGGAGAAAUCAGAGUGUAUGGACUCCGGGGGAAGUAUGGUUGCAAAGCUGAAACUUAAAGGAAUUGACGGAAGGGCACCACCAGGAGUGGAGCUUGCGGCUUAAUUUGACUCAACACGGGACAACUCACCAGGCCCGGACACCGUAAGGAUUGACAGACUGAUAGCUCUCUCUUGAUUCAGUGGGUGGUGGUGCAUGGCCGUUCUUAGUUGGUGGAGUGAUUUGUCUGGUUUAUUCCGAUAACGAACGAGACUCUGGCCUAUUAAACUUGACGCCGCUAGUCCUUAUGCGACUGCGGCGUGCUUCUUAGAGGGAUCAUCGGCGUCCCAGCCGAAGGAAAGGGAGCAAUAACAGGUCUGUGAUGCCCUUAGAUGUUCUGGGCUGCACGCGUGUUACACUGAAGUGGUCAGCGCGCCGUUCUACGUCCCUCUCCGUGAGGAGCGGGCAAACGUUUGAACCCUUUUCGUGAUGGGAAUUGGGGGUUGCAAUUGUCCCCCAUGAACGAGGAAUUCCAAGUAAGCGCAGGUCACUAGCCUGCGUUGAUUAAGUCCCUGCCCUUUGUACACACCGCCCGUCGCUACUACCGAUGGAUGAUUUG